This 525-nucleotide ribosomal RNA is filed under the name uncultured bacterium. Its description in RNAcentral is "partial 16S ribosomal RNA". The record is from RNAcentral.
CACAGAGUUAGCCGGGGCUUCCUCUCACGGUACCGUCAGCCUCCCCAGGUGUUAACUGGAAAGGUGUUCGUCCCGUUCGACAGGAGUUUACAAUCCGAAGACCUUCAUCCUCCACGCGGCGUUGCGUCGUCAGGCUUGCGCCCAUUGCGAACAAUUCCCCACUGCUGCCUCCCGUAGGAGUCUGGGCCGUGUCUCACGUCCCAGUGUCGGCCGUCCGCCCUCUCGAGGCCGGCUACCGAUCGUCGCCUUGGUGAGCCAUUACCUCACCAACUAGCUAAUCGGACGCCGGGCCCUCUCCUAGCGCCAGGUCUUGCGAUCCCCGGCUUUCAUCGUCGCCUGUACCAAAGGCGCGACAAUAUGCGGUAUUAGCGUUCCUUUCGGAACGUUACUCCCCCACUUAGAGGUAGGUCACCCACGUGUUACUCACCCGUUUGCCACUCUACUCAGGGCCGAAGCCCCUUUCGCGUUCGACUUGCAUGCGUUAGGCACGCCCGCCAGCGUGAUUCUGAGCCAGGAUCAAACUCU